RNAcentral lists this ribosomal RNA (145 nucleotides) under Eimeria bukidnonensis. Its description in RNAcentral is "partial 28S rRNA". It matches the Rfam family "Eukaryotic large subunit ribosomal RNA", at positions 22 to 163 of the family's 3401-position model. Lineage: Eukaryota; Apicomplexa; Conoidasida; Eucoccidiorida; Eimeriidae. The record is from RNAcentral.
UACCCGCUGAAUUUAAGCAUAUUACUAAGCGGAGGAAAAGAAAAUAACUAUGAUUCCCUCAGUAACGGCGAGUGAAGCGGGAAGAGCUCAAAGUGAAAAUCGCUGUUCCUUUUGGAACUGCGAAUUGUAGCCUCUAGAGGCGUGC